RNAcentral lists this ribosomal RNA (497 nucleotides) under uncultured bacterium. RNAcentral describes it as "partial 16S ribosomal RNA". It matches the Rfam family "Bacterial small subunit ribosomal RNA", at positions 28 to 507 of the family's 1533-position model. The record is from RNAcentral.
GAUGAACGCUGGCGGCGUGCCUAAUACAUGCAAGUCGAGCGAACAGACGAGGAGCUUGCUCCUCUGACGUUAGCGGCGGACGGGUGAGUAACACGUGGAUAACCUACCUAUAAGACUGGGAUAACUUCGGGAAACCGGAGCUAAUACCGGAUAACAUGUUGAACCGCAUGGUUCAACAGUGAAAGACGGUCUUGCUGUCACUUAUAGAUGGAUCCGCGCCGCAUUAGCUAGUUGGUAAGGUAACGGCUUACCAAGGCAACGAUGCGUAGCCGACCUGAGAGGGUGAUAGGCCACACUGGAACUGAGACACGGUCCAGACUCCUAAGGGAGGCAGCAGUAGGGAAUCUUCCGCAAUGGGCGAAAGCCUGACGGAGCAACGCCGCGUGAGUGAAGAAGGUCUUCGGAUCGUAAAACUCUGUUAUUAGGGAAGAACAAAUGUGUAAGUAACUAUGCACGUCUUGACGGUACCUAAUCAGAAAGCCACGGCUAACUACGUG